This 383-nucleotide ribosomal RNA is filed under the name Candida tropicalis. RNAcentral describes it as "eukaryotic LSU rRNA". It matches the Rfam family "Eukaryotic large subunit ribosomal RNA", at positions 201 to 591 of the family's 3401-position model. Lineage: Eukaryota; Fungi; Ascomycota; Pichiomycetes; Serinales; Debaryomycetaceae. The record is from RNAcentral.
CGUCACAGAGGGUGAGAAUCCCGUGCGAUGAGAUGAUCCAGGCCUAUGUAAAGUUCCUUCGAAGAGUCGAGUUGUUUGGGAAUGCAGCUCUAAGUGGGUGGUAAAUUCCAUCUAAAGCUAAAUAUUGGCGAGAGACCGAUAGCGAACAAGUACAGUGAUGGAAAGAUGAAAAGAACUUUGAAAAGAGAGUGAAAAAGUACGUGAAAUUGUUGAAAGGGAAGGGCUUGAGAUCAGACUUGGUAUUUUGUAUGUUACUUCUUCGGGGGUGGCCUCUACAGUUUAUCGGGCCAGCAUCAGUUUGGGCGGUAGGAGAAUUGCGUUGGAAUGUGGCACGGCUUCGGUUGUGUGUUAUAGCCUUCGUCGAUACUGCCAGCCUAGACUGA